CCUACGGGGUGCAGCAGUGGGGAAUAUUGGGCAAUGGGCGCAAGCCUGACCCAGCAACGACGCGUGAAGGAAGAAGGCGUGCGGGUUGUAAACUUCUUUUCUCAGGGACGAAGCAAGUGACGGUACCUGAGGAAUAAGACACGGCUAACUACGUGCCAGCAGCCGCGGUAAUACGUAGGUGGCAGGCGUUAUCCGGAUUUACUGGGUGUAAAGGGCGUGUAGGCGGGGACGCAAGUCAGAUGUGAAAACCACGGGCUCAACCUGUGGCCUGCAUUUGAAACUGUGUUUCUUGAGUACUGGUGAGGCAGACGGAAUUCCUAGUGUAGCGGUGAACUGCGUAGAUAUUAGGAGGAACACCAGUGGCGAAGGCGGUCUGCUGGACAGCAACUGACGCUGAGGCGCGAAAGCGUGGGGAGCAAACAGGAUUAGAUACCCCUGUAGUC
RNAcentral lists this ribosomal RNA (443 nucleotides) under uncultured bacterium. RNAcentral's name for it is "partial 16S ribosomal RNA". It matches the Rfam family "Bacterial small subunit ribosomal RNA", at positions 338 to 795 of the family's 1533-position model. The record is from RNAcentral.